This 71-nucleotide transfer RNA is filed under the name Phrynosoma platyrhinos (Desert horned lizard). Its description in RNAcentral is "tRNA-OTHER". Lineage: Eukaryota; Metazoa; Chordata; Lepidosauria; Squamata; Phrynosomatidae. The record is from RNAcentral.
GCCAGCGUGAUGUAUUGGUUUGAGUGUUGGACUAUGAUUCUGGAGACCAGGGUUCAAUUCCCAGCUCUGCG